RNAcentral lists this transfer RNA (62 nucleotides) under Byturus ochraceus. RNAcentral's name for it is "tRNA-Glu". Lineage: Eukaryota; Metazoa; Arthropoda; Insecta; Coleoptera; Byturidae. The record is from RNAcentral.
AUUUAUAUAGUUUAUUAAAACAUUACAUUUUCAAUGUAAAAAUAAAAAAUUUUUUAUAAAUA